This 77-nucleotide transfer RNA is filed under the name Altererythrobacter sp. BO-6. RNAcentral's name for it is "tRNA-Arg". It matches the Rfam family "tRNA". Rfam says of the family: Transfer RNA (tRNA) molecules are approximately 80 nucleotides in length. Their secondary structure includes four short double-helical elements and three loops (D, anti-codon, and T loops). The record is from RNAcentral. Lineage: Bacteria; Pseudomonadati; Pseudomonadota; Alphaproteobacteria; Sphingomonadales; Erythrobacteraceae.
GCCCCGGUAGCUCAACUGGAUAGAGCGUCCGCCUACGGAGCGGAAGGUUGCAGGUUCGAAUCCUGCCCGGGGCACCA